RNAcentral lists this unclassified non-coding RNA (210 nucleotides) under plant metagenome. Its description in RNAcentral is "partial contains small subunit ribosomal RNA, internal transcribed spacer 1, and 5.8S ribosomal RNA". The record is from RNAcentral.
UUUCCGUAGGUGAACCUGCGGAAGGAUCAUCAUAGGAAAAAAAAAUUCUUUUUUUUUCUAUAGACUUACACCCCUUUGUGCUCUUUUUCGAGGUCUGAAAAGGCCUCGUUUAACUUUUUUUUUACAAAACAACCUUUUAUACCUAUUUACCAUAAUACACCUUUAUAAAUAACCAAAAGACAACUUUUAACAACGGAUCUCUUGGCUCUC